RNAcentral lists this ribosomal RNA (492 nucleotides) under uncultured bacterium. Its description in RNAcentral is "partial 16S ribosomal RNA". It matches the Rfam family "Bacterial small subunit ribosomal RNA", at positions 29 to 507 of the family's 1533-position model. The record is from RNAcentral.
AGUGAACGCUGGCGGUAGGCCUAACACAUGCAAGUCGAACGGCAGCACAGUAAGAGCUUGCUCUUACGGGUGGCGAGUGGCGGACGGGUGAGGAAUACAUCGGAAUCUACUUUUUCGGGGGGGAUAACGUAGGGAAACUUACGCUAAUACCGCAUACGACCUACGGGUGAAAGCAGGGGAUCUUCGGACCUUGCGCGAGUGAAUGAGCCGAUGGCGGAUUAGCUAGUUGGCGGGGUAAAGGCCCACCAAGGCGACGACCCGUAGCUGGUCUGAGAGGAUGACCAGCCACACUGGAACUGAGACACGGUCCAGACUCCUACGGGAGGCAGCAGUGGGGAAUAUUGGACAAUGGGCGCAAGCCUGAUCCAGCCAUACCGCGUGGGUGAAGAAGGCCUUCGGGUUGUAAAGCCCUUUUGUUGGGAAAGAAAAGAAGCAGGUUAAUACCCCGCUGUUCUGACGGUACCCAAAGAAUAAGCACCGGCUAACUUCGUG